UACGUAGGGGGCUAGCGUUGUCCGGAAUCAUUGGGCGUAAAGCGCUCGUAGGCGGCCAGAUAAGUCUGGUGUGAAAGUCACAGGCUCAACCUGUGAAUGCCGCUGGAAACUGUCUGGCUAGAGUCCGGAAGGGGCGAGUGGAAUUCCUGGUGUAGCGGUGAAAUGCGCAGAUAUCAGGAAGAACACCGGUGGCGAAGGCGGCUCUCUGGGACGGUACUGACGCUGAGACGCGAAAGCGUGGGGAGCGAACAGG
Molecule: ribosomal RNA, 253 nt
Filed under: uncultured bacterium
Lineage: Bacteria
Description: partial 16S ribosomal RNA
Rfam family: Bacterial small subunit ribosomal RNA
Source: RNAcentral